ACGCUCGACACCUACGGGGGCAGCAGUGGGGGAUAUUGCACAAUGGGGGAAACCCUGAUGCAGCGACGCCGCGUGAGUGAAGAAGUAUUUCGGUAUGUAAAGCUCUAUCAGCAGGGAAGAGAAUGACGGUACCUGAGUAAGAAGCCCCGGCUAACUACGUGCCUAGCAGCCGCGGUAAUCUGAGGCGGGCUGGCAAGGC
RNAcentral lists this ribosomal RNA (199 nucleotides) under uncultured bacterium. RNAcentral describes it as "partial 16S ribosomal RNA". It matches the Rfam family "Bacterial small subunit ribosomal RNA", at positions 328 to 539 of the family's 1533-position model. The record is from RNAcentral.